This 737-nucleotide long non-coding RNA is filed under the name Coccomyxa subellipsoidea. RNAcentral's name for it is "long non-coding RNA (CSUB_LNC000196)". Lineage: Eukaryota; Viridiplantae; Chlorophyta; Trebouxiophyceae; Coccomyxaceae. The record is from RNAcentral.
GCGGAUCCCGGCACAUCGCCAUCGCCGCAGACGCGGCCGGGGCCACCGCUGCCGCCUUUCUCACCCUUCCUCGCCCCCCGCGCGCAGCCGCCUUCGCUCCCGUCAACCACCAGGUGAUUGAUUAAAUUUUAAUAUAAGGAAGUAAUCACCUACGCCCAUGCAAAGACCUGCUCUCGCCCAUGCAGAGACCUGCAGGCUUAUUUUUAUACAGCCUUCAACAGCUGCAGCGUACUCUGUCGUGUAGCAAGACCUUUGACAACUUUAGCCAUGCCCGCGUGUCUCUUUCCCUUGUAUCUGUGCAAAAAGCAGCUGCACUUUAGACAACCCUUAGCAUCUUGAGCGUGUCUGGAGCUAACGGUGUCUGCUGUAAGUACAUGCUGAAGCAGAGUUGAUGGCACUCAAGAUUACGUAUGUGGUAUCAGCAGGGCCCGGCCGCCGCCGCCGGUGCGCUCGCCCUUACCCGGGCAGUACACAAACGAGGACGGCGCGAAAGCAGGCGGCGUUCCCUCCAGCUGGCGCCCGGUCUACAGCAGCGCUGACAACGCCACGCGGGCGCAGGGCGUGCGCGACAGCUCAGCCAACGACUCAUCGGCCGCCGCGGCCAGCGCCGGCGUUCCCUCCGCCCCGGGCAGCCCGGAGCCUGCCCAGCCGGGCGCGCUCGCCGUCCCCCCCUCCCUGCAGGCGCGCGCACUGUUGGUCAAAUUAAAAGAAAUCAUUGCGAGUAACGAAGAUGAACA